GACGAACGCUGGCGGCGUGCUUAACACAUGCAAGUCGAACGGAAAGGCCCUGCUUUUGUGGGGUGCUCGAGUGGCGAACGGGUGAGUAACACGUGAGUAACCUGCCCUUGACUUUGGGAUAACUUCAGGAAACUGGGGCUAAUACCGGAUAGGAGCUCCUGCUGCAUGGUGGGGGUUGGAAAGUUUCGGCGGUUGGGGAUGGACUCGCAGCUUAUCAGCUUGUUGGUGGGGUAGGGGCUUACCAAGGCUUUGACGGGUAGCCGGCCUGAGAGGGUGACCGGCCACAUUGGGACUGAGAUACGGCCCAGACUCCUACGGGAGGCAGCAGUGGGGAAUAUUGCACAAUGGGCGGAAGCCUGAUGCAGCAACGCCGCGUGCGGGAUGACGGCCUUCGGGUUGUAAACCGCUUUCGCCUGUGACGAAGCGUGAGUGACGGUAAUGGGUAAAGAAGCACCGGCUAACUACGUG
This 468-nucleotide ribosomal RNA is filed under the name uncultured bacterium. RNAcentral describes it as "partial 16S ribosomal RNA". It matches the Rfam family "Bacterial small subunit ribosomal RNA", at positions 28 to 507 of the family's 1533-position model. The record is from RNAcentral.